AAUCCUACGGGAGGCAGCCGUGAGGAAUAUUGGUCAAUGGUCGGGAGACUGAACCAGCCAAGCCGCGUGAGGGAUGAAGGUACAGAGUAUCGUAAACCUCUUUUGUCAGGGAACAAAGGCGGGGACGUGUCCCCGGAUGAGUGUACCUGAAGAAAAAGCAUCGGCUAACUCCGUGCCAGCAGCCGCGGUAAUACGAAGGAUGCGAGCGUUAUCCGGAUUUAUUGGGUUUAAAAGGUGCGCAGGCGGUCUGUUAAGUCAGCGGUCAAAGCCCGGGGCUCCACCCCGGCCCCCCGUUGAAACUUGCG
RNAcentral lists this ribosomal RNA (305 nucleotides) under uncultured bacterium. RNAcentral describes it as "bacterial SSU rRNA". It matches the Rfam family "Bacterial small subunit ribosomal RNA", at positions 335 to 638 of the family's 1533-position model. The record is from RNAcentral.